Molecule: small RNA, 183 nt
Filed under: Chrysemys picta bellii (western painted turtle)
Lineage: Eukaryota; Metazoa; Chordata; Testudines; Emydidae
Description: TUC338 (ENSCPBG00000011869.1)
Source: RNAcentral
CUAAUGGGCCUGGAGUUAGAAUUCCUCGACUUCUCCCAGCCUCAGAGCAGGUGCAACACAGCCCAUGGCCGUACAACCUUCCUUCAAAGACUCAUUAAUAUUCUUCAACUCUGGUCUGAAGAGAUCAGCUCUGGGGACAAAAGGGGAAUUGAGUCUCCAUGGCCAAUUCACUCCUUGGCCUCC